GGGGUAAACGCUGGGUAGCUAUGUCUGGAGCAAAUAACUGCUGAAAGCAUAUAAGUAGGAAGUUCACCUUAAGAUGAGUGCUCUUUUGUCUCAACCGUUCAUCCUUCUAUAAAGGUAUGUACAACCGAAAGACAAGGAAGGUCACGGCAAGACGAGCCGUUUGAUAGGCAUGAAGUAGACGUGCAGUAAUGCAUUCUGAAGCUGACAUGUCCUAAUAGACCGAGGGAUUUGAUUU
Molecule: ribosomal RNA, 235 nt
Filed under: Micromonas pusilla CCMP1545
Lineage: Eukaryota; Viridiplantae; Chlorophyta; Mamiellophyceae; Mamiellales; Mamiellaceae
Description: 23S ribosomal RNA
Rfam family: Bacterial large subunit ribosomal RNA
Source: RNAcentral